This 462-nucleotide ribosomal RNA is filed under the name Nocardiaceae bacterium 'ARUP UnID 439'. RNAcentral describes it as "bacterial SSU rRNA". It matches the Rfam family "Bacterial small subunit ribosomal RNA", at positions 27 to 506 of the family's 1533-position model. Lineage: Bacteria; Bacillati; Actinomycetota; Actinomycetes; Mycobacteriales; Nocardiaceae. The record is from RNAcentral.
GGACGAACGCUGGCGGCGUGCUUAACACAUGCAAGUCGAGCGGUAAGGCCCUUCGGGGUACACGAGCGGCGAACGGGUGAGUAACACGUGGGUGAUCUGCCUCGCACUUCGGGAUAAGCCUGGGAAACUGGGUCUAAUACCGGAUAUGACCACUGGUCGCAUGGUUGGUGGUGGAAAGAUUUAUCGGUGCGAGAUGGGCCCGCGGCCUAUCAGCUUGUUGGUGGGGUAAUGGCCUACCAAGGCGACGACGGGUAGCCGGCCUGAGAGGGCGACCGGCCACACUGGGACUGAGACACGGCCCAGACUCCUACGGGAGGCAGCAGUGGGGAAUAUUGCACAAUGGGCGAAAGCCUGAUGCAGCGACGCCGCGUGAGGGAUGACGGCCUUCGGGUUGUAAACCUCUUUCGACAGGGACGAAGCGUGAGUGACGGUACCUGUAGAAGAAGCACCGGCCAACUACGU